This 777-nucleotide unclassified non-coding RNA is filed under the name uncultured fungus. RNAcentral describes it as "sequence contains 18S rRNA gene, ITS1, 5.8S rRNA gene, ITS2, 28S rRNA gene". The stretch from base 626 to 775 matches the Rfam family "5.8S ribosomal RNA". The record is from RNAcentral. Lineage: Eukaryota; Fungi.
GUGAUUCCUUCCGCAGUGUACACUUAUCGAAGCCUUUGCAGCCACGCAAGUGGCAGGCCCGAACGACUGUAAAUAAAUUGGCGCCGCUGCAAGUCAGCCCCCGGGCUGGCGACACUUUCGAAUUGACGGGGACACCCUAAAGCCGAUCGCACCAACCUGUGGGGGAAACCGCACGGGGGCCCGUGGUAAUGACACGGGGGAUGGUAACAGACGAUCUGGAUAGUUCUGCUUCGGCAGAGAGGAUGGGCAAUCCGCAGCGAAGCCCCUAAGUCCCGUCCCGGGAUACGGGGAACGUCCACAGACUAAGUGGAAGUGGGUGGGAUGCUACCACAUCCUGCUUAAGAUAUAGUCGGGCCCCCUGGGAGACCAGGGGGAGAAGUACACUGCUCAGUCCUUCUGAAUCCCGUUCCGUAGGUGAACCUGCGGAAGGAUCAUUACCGAGUGAGGGUCCCUUGCGGGCCCAACCUCCCACCCGUGUUUAACUAUACCGUGUUGCUUCGGCGGGCCCACUGGGGCCUGUUCCCGGUCGCCUGGGGGGGGUGAAACCCCCCGGGUCCGUGCCCGCCGGAGACCCCUUGAACCCUGAGUGAAUCGAGUGUCGUCUGAGUUUGAAUUAAAUCAUUAAAACUUUCAACAACGGAUCUCUUGGUUCCGGCAUCGAUGAAGAACGCAGCGAAUUGCGAUAAGUAAUGUGAAUUGCAGAAUUCCGUGAAUCAUCGAAUCUUUGAACGCACAUUGCGCCCCCUGGCAUUCCGGGGGGGCAUGCCUGUCCGAAGC